AGAGUUUGAUCAUGGCUCAGAACGAACGCUGGCGGCAGGCCUAACACAUGCAAGUCGAACGCUCGUAGCAAUACGAGAGUGGCAGACGGGUGAGUAACACGUGGGAACCUUCCCUAUGGUUCGGAAUAGCUCAGGGAAACUUGAGGUAAUACCGGAUAAGCCCUUACGGGGAAAGAUUUAUCGCCAUUGGAUGGGCCCGCGUCGGAUUAGCUAGUUGGUGAGGUAACGGCUCACCAAGGCGACGAUCCGUAGCUGGUCUGAGAGGAUGAUCAGCCACACUGGGACUGAGACACGGCCCAGACUCCUACGGGAGGCAGCAGUGGGGAAUAUUGGACAAUGGGCGCAAGCCUGAUCCAGCCAUGCCGCGUGAGUGACGAAGGCCUUAGGGUUGUAAAGCUCUUUUGGCGGGGAAGAUAAUGACGGUACCCGCAGAAUAAGCUCCGGCUAACUUCGUGCCAGCCGCCGCGGUAAUACA
RNAcentral lists this ribosomal RNA (475 nucleotides) under uncultured bacterium. RNAcentral describes it as "bacterial SSU rRNA". It matches the Rfam family "Bacterial small subunit ribosomal RNA", at positions 8 to 527 of the family's 1533-position model. The record is from RNAcentral.